Molecule: long non-coding RNA, 1773 nt
Organism: Drosophila miranda
Lineage: Eukaryota; Metazoa; Arthropoda; Insecta; Diptera; Drosophilidae
Exons: 3
Source: RefSeq, a predicted model, not a curated record
AGCUAGUUAGUUAGUUUCGAGCUCGUAGUAGUGAGAGUCGAUCGGCAGACUCACACACACGCACACGCACACACACACGCACACUCUCCUGAAUAUAUAGUAUGUAUGUAUAUUAGCCCUACGCACACCAUCACAAAGUCGCACAGUAUCAAGUUGCUUAAGUCGCUCAAAGCGCCAUUUAAGUUGAGUAAUUAAAACAAGCGGCACAUUUGCAUGUGUCUGUAUGUGCUCACACAGAUACGAGUGAUGCCUUGCUUGUGUGUGUGUGUGUGUGUGUGCGAUUAAUUAUUAAUCAAGCCAAACAAAAAAAAUAAAAACAACACCAGCCCAAGAAACAAUAACAAACAAGUCAGAGUCAGAGUCAGAGUCAGAGUCAGUCGGACAGCUGAAGACAAUUACAAUAUUUCAACUCUCUCAGUCUCCAUCUCCAUCUCAGUCUCAGUCCCAAUCCCCAGUCCACGUCUCCGUCGCCAUCUCAGGCACAGAUCUCGGCUCGACUUUCUUUGGUCUCUCUGGCAGAGCUGUUACAUAUUUAACUUUUCGGCUGCCUGUUGCCGUCUCAACUGGUUCGGUUUAUUUUUGUCUCUGGACGGGCUCUUCAAGAGUGCAGCGUUGCUAAUGCAAAUCUAAGUUGAUUGCAAAAUGCUUAGAGACGGAGUAGAUCGGUUUUUCGAGGCGCUGCCAGACUGUUUUUCCGAGUGAUGGAUACCAGAGAUACUGGAACAAUCAUAGUAAUAGUUUCUAAGAGGAAGAUACAUUUAUUACAUUAAUUAUACAUUUAUUCUGGAUAAAAUUGCUGGCAGUUUUGGAGAAGCUUUUCAUAGGCAAUCAUAGAACCUUAUCUCUGCGAAAAACUCUGUAAAUUAGAUGGAUACCAUACCACCUACAUAGGGUUACGUUUUUCCCCUCUCAGUGGGUUCGGCACAUUAACCAUCCGCCAUGUUGGCACACACGCAAAUUUUCACCUGUCUGGCAGCACUGGCUGGCCAAAUCAAUGCAACAUGCUGCAACUGGCUGAUCUUGUGGCCGUUGUUGUUGCAACGUAAUUAAAAUAUUGCACUUGUUACUUUUCCCAGUUGCUGCCACUCGUGCCCCUUCUCUGGAUGCCUCUCGCGGGCACUCUCUCGCUCUUACAUUGUUUUUGCUGCUGCAACAACACGAAAAAAUAGCAAAAACCACAGCGAGGAGAAAAAGCACAACAAGCAUGCUGACAACAUCGACUCCAUCGGUCGCUGUGUCGUGUAUUAAAACUUGUUCAUUGGAAUUUUCUAAUAAAUCAAUAAACGCAGACAACACAUUGCUAUGGCCAGGCAACAUCAGCAACAGCAGCAUUGACACUUUCCCGCAAUUGUAAUGCAGUUUGGCGACUGGCAGUUCCGUAAAUAAAGCGAAUGGGAAGUGGACUGGACACAACAAUCAGCCAGAAACAAUCAAUCAAAGUGCCUAUAAAUCGAUGCAAUACCGUUACUCUUUGUAAAGGGCGACAGAUUCUUAACUCAAUUUAGCCAGGAUCCAAGGAUCAUCCAGAUCCUCUAUAGAAUAUUACACCAUUUAGAUGCGAUAAUAAACGAAACAAAAGAGAAAUUGUUCUGGCUGAUUUUCACCGUUUGUUCGUAUCGCCGGGGCAACAUUGUUGCCACUAAAUUUUCCAUGUUCCAGCUUGAUAUGCUAAUAAGUUCUAAUAGCUUUCGAUUUGGCCCGCUUUACAUGCGACGAGUCCGUUCGGCACAUUCUAAAUGUAAAUAAAAUGGAAAUUCCUUUGAGUGGCACCAG